This 354-nucleotide transfer-messenger RNA is filed under the name Verrucomicrobiia. RNAcentral describes it as "CAIMTB01 sp019634625 Standard tmRNA". It matches the Rfam family "transfer-messenger RNA". Rfam says of the family: Bacterial tmRNA, also known as 10Sa RNA or SsrA, is named for its dual tRNA and mRNA-like properties. Its role is to liberate the mRNA from a stalled ribosome. Lineage: Bacteria; Pseudomonadati; Verrucomicrobiota. The record is from RNAcentral. RNAcentral also lists the same sequence under 1 other name.
GGGGGCGUACCGGUUUCGACCUGGACGACCUGUCGGAUGCGGCAUGCCGAGGACGAUCCGUUGGCCUCGUUAAUCAUCGGGUCAAAAAUCGACUGCCAACGAAGAAAUGGCUCUCGCGGCCUAAUUAGGCCGUGACGUCUCCCGGGGACACCUGCUUACCGGGUCAGGCGCUGCAGCAGGUUAGGCGGGAAACGGAGACCGCGCGUCUCCUGCCGAAGCUAUUGCAUGCGGACUACGCGGCGCGAUUGGCGUCGGUGCCCUAUCGCGUGGCGGAUUCUCUCCACCGACUAAGCAUGUAGUCGUGACCGGCAGACCGGCCAUGGGACGCGGGUUCAACUCCCGCCGCCUCCACCA